Molecule: ribosomal RNA, 468 nt
Filed under: uncultured bacterium
Lineage: Bacteria
Description: partial 16S ribosomal RNA
Rfam family: Bacterial small subunit ribosomal RNA
Source: RNAcentral
GACGAACGCUGGCGGCGUGCUUAACACAUGCAAGUCGAACGGAAAGGCCCUGCUGUUGUGGGGUGCACGAGUUGCGAACGGGUGAGUAACACGUGAGUAACCUGCCCUUGACUUUGGGAUAACUUACGGAAACUGGGGCUAAUACCGGACAGGAGCUACCGCUGCAUGGUGGGGGUUGGAAAGUUUCGGCGGUUGGGGAUGGACACGCGGUUUAUCAGCUUGUUGGUGGAGUAUUGGCUUGCCAAGGCUUUGCCGGGUAGCCGGCCUGAGAGGGUGAACAGCCACAAUGGGACUGAGAUACGGACCAGACGCCUACGUGAGGCAGCAGUGGGGAAUAUUGCAGAGUGGGCGGAAGCCAGAUGCAGAAACGCCGCGUGCGGGAUGACGGCCUUCGGGUUAUAAACCGCUUUGGACUGUGACGAAGCGUGAGUGACGGUAAUGGGUAAAGAAGCACCGGCUAACUACGUG